This 251-nucleotide ribosomal RNA is filed under the name uncultured prokaryote. RNAcentral's name for it is "partial 16S rRNA". It matches the Rfam family "Bacterial small subunit ribosomal RNA", at positions 525 to 775 of the family's 1533-position model. The record is from RNAcentral.
ACGUAGGGUGCGAGCGUUAAUCGGAAUUACUGGGCGUAAAGCGUGCGCAGGCGGUUUUGGAAGACAGAGGUGAAAUCCCCGGGCUCAACCUGGGAACUGCCUUUGUGACUGCAAGGCUAGAGGGCGGCAGGGGGGGGCGGAAUUCCGCGUGUAGCAGUGAAAUGCGCAGAUAUUGGUAGGAACACCCAUGGCGCAGGCAAACAUCUAGGAUUGUACUGAUGUGGAGGCCCGAAAGCUUGGGGAGCAAACAG